UUGGUAUCUUACUUAUUUCGU
Molecule: non-coding RNA, 21 nt
Filed under: Caenorhabditis elegans
Lineage: Eukaryota; Metazoa; Nematoda; Chromadorea; Rhabditida; Rhabditidae
Source: RNAcentral